GCUGAGUUCAGUAACGUGGGCUUGUAACCCAAGUGGGGGCUUUAAGGUGUUGUGACGUUGUUUUGAGCCCUUAUGGCAGGAUCAGGCUUGGCUAAUUUCUGGCUUGCCCGUUCCAAGCUGAGAGUUAAACCAUGGGACCUGGGCGAAGGCUUGGGUCUCCUAGUUCCUAGAGCAGAGGGUAAUGCGUGAGGCUGGCUUCACAGAGCAGCGAUUACCUCUCGCUCCCAGCAGUGGAAGGAUAACAGGUCAGUGCCAUCCUGGUCCAUAUGGCUAGAUGGGUUGUGCUAACUGGACCAUCACUUUU
Molecule: signal recognition particle RNA, 304 nt
Filed under: Manihot esculenta (cassava)
Lineage: Eukaryota; Viridiplantae; Streptophyta; Magnoliopsida; Malpighiales; Euphorbiaceae
Description: Plant signal recognition particle RNA
Rfam family: Plant signal recognition particle RNA
Source: Rfam by way of RNAcentral